AUGUUGUUAAUAGCGGCCAACGUGGCCGCAAAAGUGGUGUGGUGCGGAAAAAUUGGCCUGGCCGCUUCCAAGCGUACUGGCUUGGCGCAAAAUGAGAAAGCGGGUGGCACGGCUGCGAUCACGGGUCUGGUAGCGUGUCCGAUGCGGUCAAAAGGGGCCGGUUUAUUUGGUUUGGAGCAAAAACACCAAAUUUGCAGCUCCUUGCUUUUAAAAUAUAUGUAUAUUUAUCAUAGAACGUAA
Vicia faba (fava bean) is the source of this 240-nucleotide non-coding RNA. NCBI's taxonomy places the organism in Eukaryota, Viridiplantae, Streptophyta, Magnoliopsida, Fabales, Fabaceae. The record is from the annotation of a GenBank genome assembly.